GAUGAACGCUGGCGGCGUGCUUAACACAUGCAAGUCGAACGGAAAGGCCAGUGCUUGCACUUGUGCUCGAGUGGCGAACGGGUGAGUAACACGUGGGUGAUCUGCCCUGCACUUUGGGAUAAGCCUGGGAAACUGGGUCUAAUACCAGAUAGGACCAUGCUUUGGGUGGUGUGGUGGAAAGCUUUUUCUGUGUGGGAUGAGCUUGCGGCCUAUCCGCUUGUUGGUGGGGUGAUGGCCUACCAAGGCGUCGGCGGGUAGCCGGCCUGAGAAGGUGUACGGCGACACUGGCACUGACGGACGGCCCAGACGGCUACGGGUGGCAGAAGGGGGGAAGAUUGCACAAGCAGCGCAGGGCUGGUGCAGCGGGGCCUCGGGGGGGAAGACGGCCUUCGGGUGGUAGACUACUUUCGCAACUGACGAAGCUUGUUGUGACGGUAGGUAGAGAAGAAGCACCGGCUAACUACGUG
RNAcentral lists this ribosomal RNA (467 nucleotides) under uncultured bacterium. Its description in RNAcentral is "partial 16S ribosomal RNA". It matches the Rfam family "Bacterial small subunit ribosomal RNA", at positions 28 to 507 of the family's 1533-position model. The record is from RNAcentral.